GUGUCAGCCGCCGCGGUAAUACGAAGGGGGCUAGCGUUGUUCGGAAUCACUGGGCGUAAAGAGCACGUAGGCGGACUUGUUAGUCAGGGGUGAAAUCCCGGGGCUCAACCUCGGAACUGCCCUUGAAACUGCAAGUCUUGAGUCCGAGAGAGGUGAGUGGAAUUCCUAGUGUAGAGGUGAAAUUCGUAGAUAUUAGGAAGAACACCAGUGGCGAAGGCGGCUCACUGGCUCGGAACUGACGCUGAGGUGAGAAAGCGUGGGGAGCAAACAGGAUUAGAUACCCUGGUAGUCCACGCCGUAAACGAUGGAUGCUAGCCGUCGGCAAGCUUGCUUGUCGGUGGCGCAGCUAACGCAUUAAGCAGCCCGCCUGGGGAGUACGGCCGCAAGGUUAAAACUUAAAUGAAUUGACGGGG
Molecule: ribosomal RNA, 413 nt
Filed under: uncultured prokaryote
Description: bacterial SSU rRNA
Rfam family: Bacterial small subunit ribosomal RNA
Source: RNAcentral